RNAcentral lists this long non-coding RNA (6630 nucleotides) under Homo sapiens (human). RNAcentral's name for it is "HSALNT0326620". The record is from RNAcentral. Lineage: Eukaryota; Metazoa; Chordata; Mammalia; Primates; Hominidae.
AAUAAUAGCCACAUUUAUUGAGGCCUUCUAGGCCAGAUGCUGUUCCAAGUGCAAGUUUUGGUAGGCAGAAUAGGAGAUUGGUGGUGGGGGUGGGAGUACUAUGAGCGUGACGUGGGAGAAAGAGAAAGAGCAUCAAAAAAGGAACUAAGAGUUGCAGAAUAGCAAAACUGAAGUUCAGUUCAAAACAAAUUUCAUCUCUUCUUUUUCCAGUUUUCCUAGACUUAGUCCUGAUCAGUUACUCCAGAAAACCUACAGGAAUCUGGCUGAGGGAGACAGUGCGGACUAAUAUUUCAUUUCUCCCCACUCCUCCCUCUGAGGAAUCCAGGACUUCAUUGUGGACCCCUGUAUUAGUCCAUUUUCACACUGCUACAGAGAGCUACCUGAGACUGGGAGUCAAUUACUUCUGCCAAGAUGGUGAUUCUUCUCCAUACCUACCUGUCCCUUGCCAUGAGGAGCUAAAGUGCCCAAGCAACAACCACAGCUUAUCAUCCAAUAAGACUCAACAGAAGUGUCGGGCGACUCACAGGGAGUUUGAGGAUGGGAUAACUUAUGCAGCUGUGGUGACCAGGAAUUGGCCAGGACUUCAUAACCAGUAUUGAUCAGUUGUUGGAUACUGGUCACCCCAGGAAAUGUAUGUGACUUUGGCCAUGGAGCUCUCCAUGGCAAUCACUGGCCUCACUUUUUCUGUUGAAAUGUAUUUGGAAGUGUUUAAAGGCAUUUUGUUUGUUUGUUUUUACAAAAGUUGGGUGGUGCUGUUGGACUUUUUGUAGUUUCUUAUUCCUUGGAAACAUGUUUAUUUCUUUAAACAUAAUAAACAUUUUGUAGUCUGUAUCUUAUAAUUUUAACAUUUUAGGUCUUUAUGGUCUGGUUCUAUUGUCUAUUUUUUUCUGCUAGUUCUCAUUUAUGUUGUCAUGUUUAUGCAACAAGUCAUAUUUGACUGUAGACUGGUUGUUGUAUUUGAAAAAUAAUUUGAGAGUGAUUAAACUCUGAGAUGACAGAAUUUUUCUCUGGAGACCAUUCUUAUUUGCUCCCGGAGCUUUACCAGUAAGGGAUCUGCUUAGUCUAAGUUCAAGGCUUGAGGCUCCUUGGACCAUCCAGUUGAUGCAAACCUGGGCUGCAAAUCCAAGCAAAAGUUGUUUUCCUUUAGGCUUUCUAUUUCCCUGAGGGCAUAAACCUUGGAUCUCAGUUUAAUAUCUAUGGAGAGAAUGGGCUCCCCACUAUGGGUGGGCCUAGGUUUUCACUUUUUUCCUACUUGCUUUGUGAGGCCACCGAGACAGCACCUCAGUUUUGCAUGUUUCUUCAGGUUUGGAAAAUGCUAUUGAGGUCAAAGCAGCUUUGUGUGCUCAACUUACUUUCCCGGGAUUUUGUCUUCUGUACUGUUGUAGAUUAAAUCUUCACUAUCUUAUUAACUCUUGGAUUUUUUAAGAGAAAUAAUGUAAGAAAAUUAUUUCACCCAGCUUUUUAAUAACUGUCCUUAUUGGGAAGGAAGAAACCUCUAGUGUUUCUUGCUUGUAGUCAAACCCUGUGGUAUUUUCUAUGAGAAUUCAAGGUGGGUGGGGGAGGCAUUUUAUUAAAUACCUUAAAUUUGCAAGCUUCUUUUGCUCAUUGAAGUUGAGGUCAAGUAAGUCAUAUAUUAGCUGUGCAUUUUUCUAAGAAUUUAGAAUAAAUAAAAUUUAAAACCCACACUAAGCAUGGAUCUGAUUUUCUACUUAGAAUGUAACAACAUAAACAUAAGAUUUUAAUCAAAUUAUCAAAAUUUCUCUAAAUCCAAUAGGAUAUGAUACCUAAACUUUUAAAAUAAAGCUGUAGAAAUAUCUAUAUCGUCAACGGUAUUUUUAAGUUCUUCAUGGCUUACCAGUUUUGAUACCUUAUUUGAGGAAAAGAAAGUCCGCUAUUUUUUCAAUAUAGUAGAGACAUCAUUUGCAGUGACAGGAAGAAAAUUCAGGCCCUCCUUGUAAUUAGAGAGCCGGCACAUAGUAAUUACAUGAGAAAAUCCUCUCAGACAUAACAAUGUAAUUGUAACCAUCCAGUGUAGGAUAAUUUUCCUUACCUAAAAAGUGCCAAACACAAUUAAUGUUGACUAACUUCCAAAAGAAUAAUGAACUUUCAUCUCUCAGAUUCAAAAUUACUCCAGCCUAGAGAGACGAGUUCUUUAUUUCGGGAACUAGUCACCCGCAAAUGGACCCUCAUGACAUAAAUGAAACCCAAAACUCUUUUAAGUGCCAGAUUUAUUUCCGUGAGAUCAAUUUAAACCAAAAAGAUUUCAUUCUCUCAGAAAAAUUAUUCCUGCUUCCUUGCAAUGCUGUGGUUUAUAAUAGAGUUAUUAUUAGCUUUGACCACAAUUAUGCCACUCUGACAGCUCCCACCUGCCUGGACCAAGAGUGACUUCUUAUCCCUGGAAUGCUGGUUACUCUUGUUCUUCAUGCUACUGGGCUGGCACUCAGCAUUGCACAAUGAUGCUUAGCCUUUUAUGGGCAUAGCUAUUUCCUCAAGGAGACUGAACUCUUGGAGGACAAGGACCCUGCCUUGGUAUGUCUUAUUAUAGAUCCCGGAAGUGCCCAGUACUGGCCCCUUUUAUAGAAGAUGCUCAGUAUUUGUUUGUGAUGGUAAUGAUGAUUCAUGUUUGACUUGGGUGACAAAUUAAUUUUAUUCAUUCUGUUUCCUCAACCCCUAGCACAUUGCCUGGCCCAGAGUAAGUACUCAAGAAAAGCCUACUGAAUGAAUGAACAAAUGAAUUAAUGAAUCAUUCGAAUUUUAAAAACUAGUUAGAAACACACACAUACAGAAUGGAGAACAUUGUGAGCAGAUUAUUUCUUAGCCUUUGUUUUUAAAAAUACAAAAAUAAUCUCACUUUCUUUUCUUUUCUUUUAGUUGACCACAAGAAGAUAGGCUGUGACUUAAUUGUUUUAGCCAAGUGCUGUUAAAUCUCACGCUCCUUUUUCUUGACUCAGGAAUACAGAAUAUAAAUAUAGAGUGCCCUCCUAUCUCCCCAGUGUCAUUGCCUUGCUCUGUGAACAAACCCAGAGGUCCAACGUUUGUGGAAGGCCGUCUUCUACUCACUUCAGAAGACGAAUAUGACAAUGUGACCCAUUCCCUGAGAUGUUUUACAACUUGAGGGAAAAAAGUGUGACUCUGAGAUGUACCAGCUGUUAGGCCAGAGACAACCCUCAGAUCACCUGGGACUUGCUCCUUGUUGCCUCCUCUUUGAUCUUUGCAUCAGAGGGCCCUGCCAGUCUCUGUCCUCACAGUACCCAGUCUCUUGGAGCCCAAAUGGACUACGACAGUGCCCAAGAAAGACAUAAGGGGAAGAGUACCAGCUGAGAAUACAUACCAAAGAUGCUGUCUCCAGCACUGCAUGGGACAAGGAUGAAGCCUCAUCAGCCAGCUGAACUGGAACAAGUAUAUUCUAAAACUCCAUCCUAUUUUAAUUUUUCUAUUUUUAAUGCAGAGUUAAUCCAUAUCAGCUUUCUUAACCAUAAAGCCAUUCCAAGCGCUAACUUUUGUUUAAUUAGCACUUUGCAAAUUAAAACUUCAGUGUGAAAAGUAUUUUAAGCAUAUUGGAUGGAACAAAGUAUAGUUUGAGAAUGUUAUCCAUCAUAUAGGAAUGGAUCAGACAGAACACUGUGAAAUCAACAAUGUGCUUUUAUUAAUAUUCCUCAAUCCCAGUCAUUAUCCAAUAAACCUCAUUUCUUCCUUCUUUUAUAUGCUUUGACACUUGGGAUCAUCACUAAAGCCCCUUUCAAGCUUCAACAUUCCAUUUUUUCCCAGACGUUUGCUAGUCUAGUCAAUUUAUUAAGAACUGAAAUAUAAAGAGGUAAAAUGUAAAAUAAUCUGAGUAGUAGAAAGAACACUGAAUUUAAGAAUCAGAAAAUCUCUUUCAGUCAAGAAUGUGUACAUCUGACUUUGUAAACUUGGGGCAUAAAUCAUUUUAACCUCUCUAGGUUCUAUUACUAUCACUAUUUUGGGGUGUGAAUAAAUUAUAAGUCUAGACUCACCUAUGAUGUCAGAAUGAAUUAAGCAGAUAUGGAAGCACUUUUGAAACAUAAAUUGCGAUUGCAACUGUCCAAGGCCACAAAAGAAAUUACUAAAAUAACUCAAAGGAAGUGUUAUAUAUCAAGGAUUCAAAACACAAGAAACAUCCCUAAAAUAUAACAUUCUAACUGAUUUUCUUAAAGAUUGAUCUUUUUUAAAAGUCACAUAAGGGUAAUGAUUGAGGAAUGAUCUGCCACAUCUUGCAGCCUGUGAUGUAUUGUUCAGUGAUAUCAUUGUGGCCAACGAGGCACCAAAGAGCAGGCGAUCACAGUGACAUCAUGGCAGGAUCACUGACAAUGCUCGUGAUGUGACGAUUCUUUAUCAUUUAUAUGUUGGGCUGGUUAUAAAGUAUUUAAUUGGUAUUGUUCACAUUUAUAUCAUGUGAUGAGACAUUCUUGUCACCAUUAUUCAGUUUCUGAAUAUUCUUGGUGAAUGAUCUUCAGGGAGCCCUGGCUUCUGACCGAGGGUUUCUAUCCUUUGUCAAGCCACCCUAUUCCCUCACUUUUCAAUCACUUUACCUAUGACUAAUAGAAAGUUCAAAGCAAAAACCUAUUGAUUAAUUUUCAACUAGCAACAGAUAAUGAAACACAUUUUGCAUGUACAUUUUUGGAUUCCCAUUCUCCUGACCAAAGUAAAUUGGCUGGAAAUAAAAGACAUGUAAAAAAUCUCAUGCAGUUGUACUAAUUGAUCUGAGAGGAAAAAUGUAAAAUAUGUAGAUACCUUGAUUGUCUCCUCUUCAUCCCAUUGACUAGGGAGGGAUUCCACACUACGGUUAUGGGGAUGGCCCAAGAUAUGACAUCUAAUACUGGACAGAUGAGAUUGACAGUAGUGUACAGUCCAGGGGAGGAGAGGAAGAUACUGCACCAUGCAGGGCUGAAUGGGGAUGUGCUCAGGAACAGAGUGAAUAAGCAGACCCUGUGGAAAGCAGGCUUUAUAGUAGCAAGAGCAUGGAGUGACUCCUUGUUUCUCAGAUGGAUGUGAUCGGCUUGUUUGAAUAAUUCAGUGGGCUGGCAGGGAACUGAAGUCUACUACUCAGGGAUAAGCAGGCACUGUGCCUUGUCCUUGUAAUAAGGAGGGUUGUUUGGCUAGGACACCUUAUCAGUAGGAGCGAAGUGUGUAGGAUGAUGCAGUUAGGACAUCAGAGGCCCUCCCAGUUUAGAUGUCAAAGUAGCACAUCAUUGUUAUUUUAAGCCUUACACUACAACAGACAUCAUAUAAAGACACUUACCAAUUUGGACCAGGAGGCACAGCUCCCAUAACUUCUAUCGUCCAUCACUUUUUACCCCUGCUCGUAAGUCAAACAAUAAAGGAAAGUCCUCUCAAAGUCUUAGACAGAAUUAGGAGUGCUAAGAGCAUUGUUGAGGCCAUUCCUAGCCUUCCUUCUUGUUCAGAAACUACAGAUCGAAAGUCAAGGGGCCCUCCUUGGCAGCCUGCAGCUGGUGGCUGCCCUGUCUCCAGCAAAGGUUUUUCUGACUGUUCAGGCACACAACUGUGACUCCCCACGAGCAGACCCACUUACGUUUACCAAGACAAGAUAACAGAGUCAAUUAGCCUUGUCAGUCACUGUGACUAUAACUUAGAAGAAUAGAAGCCCACUGAUCACACUUAAUGAAAAUACAAGGUGACAAGAAAGUCAUCUGCAGCUGUUUAUGGACAAGAAUUUGGGGAAAAUGUAUUAAGAACAGUUAUAAUUAGAGAUACACACAAAAACAGAUAUGCUAUAUGCUAUAUUAUAAUAAAAUUGACAUUAUAAUAUUUACUAUAUUUACAUACUGAAUACAUUUAAAACAAUAAAAUUAAGUGAAAACAUUUUUGUUGUGCUUUUCUGUUCAGUGAUACUGUCUGGUUUUUUUAUUAAAGUUUUAAAUGUUAAAUGAUGACAUUUCAAAUACACAGCCAAGUACCAAAAUUAUUAAUAGACACUCAUGUACCAACCUACCAUAUUAACAGACAUUAACAUUUUGCUUUACUUGCCUUAGAAUCAAUUUUCUCUGUUUUAAAAAGCAGAAAGCAUUAAGCACAGAUAAAGCACCCCCAUCUCAUCCUCUACCUUUCUCUCCAGAGGUAACCAUCACCCUGAAGUUAGUAUGCUUCUUUUCAUGUAUGUACAUUUAAACUUAUGUUAAUAUUAUAUAGACAUGUCCAUAAAUUAUAUAUACUGUUAUUUUGUGUGCUUUAAAUAUUUAUACAAAUACUAGAAACCAUAUGGUACAUUUCCUUUUGUAACUUGCUUUUCUUGCCAACAUGUUUUGACAUUUAUCUGUGUUAAUAUAUUUAGAUCAAGUUUGUUCAUUUUAACUUUCUGUAGUAUUUUAUUACAUGAAUAAAUGAGUUUAUUUACUCAUUUGCUUACCGAGAACAGUGGUGUUUGUUUUUUCUUUGUUUUUGAAGCAACAAGAAAUAUAAUAGAAACAAUCUAUACUGCAAGGAAGAUUUUGUCCAAGUCUCCAUGGGCACAUAUGUAAUAGCCACUGUAGGCAUUAGCCCUAUAUUUGAUAGAUGGAAAAACAUUUAUUUUUGAUGGCUCAGCUUAGAUAAAUAUGAUAUAUUCACCGUUGUUGUUGUUGUUGUUUUAACAAAUCUUCUUUUCAUGAUUCU